This 274-nucleotide ribosomal RNA is filed under the name uncultured bacterium. RNAcentral describes it as "partial 16S ribosomal RNA". It matches the Rfam family "Bacterial small subunit ribosomal RNA", at positions 523 to 796 of the family's 1533-position model. The record is from RNAcentral.
AUACAGAGGGUGCAAGCGUUAUUCGGAAUUACUGGGCGUAAAGCGCGCGUAGGCGGAUGAUUAAGUCAGUUGUGAAAGCCCUGGGCUCAACCUAGGAACUGCAUCUGAUACUGGUCGUCUAGAGUUUAAGAGAGGGAAGUGGAAUUCCAGGUGUAGCAGUGAAAUGCGUAGAUAUCUGGAGGAACAUCAGUGGCGAAGGCGACUUCCUGGCUUAAAACUGACGCUGAGGUGCGAAAGCGUGGGUAGCGAACGGGAGUAGAAACCCUAGUAGUCC